Molecule: long non-coding RNA, 156 nt
Organism: Penaeus chinensis
Lineage: Eukaryota; Metazoa; Arthropoda; Malacostraca; Decapoda; Penaeidae
Exons: 2
Source: RefSeq, a predicted model, not a curated record
GCCGCUCGCUCCGGUUCAACGGCAACCACGCACACACGCCCUCCCUCCCGCGGCAUCUCGACGUGGGCGUGAGGACUCCCUCGUGAUCUUGCGUGAUUGGAUACACCAUCACCAGACACAGAAGAGCCGGAUUAUAUGCGUCAAGGAAAUGUUAUA